Molecule: ribosomal RNA, 2681 nt
Filed under: Shigella flexneri
Lineage: Bacteria; Pseudomonadati; Pseudomonadota; Gammaproteobacteria; Enterobacterales; Enterobacteriaceae
Description: partial 23S ribosomal RNA
Rfam family: Bacterial large subunit ribosomal RNA
Source: RNAcentral
UCAACCGAGAUUCCCCCAGUAGCGGCGAGCGAACGGGGAGCAGCCCAGAGCCUGAAUCAGUGUGUGUGUUAGUGGAAGCGUCUGGAAAGGCGUGCGAUACAGGGUGACAGCCCCGUACACAAAAAUGCACAUACUGUGAGCUCGAUGAGUAGGGCGGGACACGUGGUAUCCUGUCUGAAUAUGGGGGGACCAUCCUCCAAGGCUAAAUACUCCUGACUGACCGAUAGUGAACCAGUACCGUGAGGGAAAGGCGAAAAGAACCCCGGCGAGGGGAGUGAAAAAGAACCUGAAACCGUGUACGUACAAGCAGUGGGAGCACGCUUAGGCGUGUGACUGCGUACCUUUUGUAUAAUGGGUCAGCGACUUAUAUUCUGUAGCAAGGUUAACCGAAUAGGGGAGCCGAAGGGAAACCGAGUCUUAACUGGGCGUUAAGUUGCAGGGUAUAGACCCGAAACCCGGUGAUCUAGCCAUGGGCAGGUUGAAGGUUGGGUAACACUAACUGGAGGACCGAACCGACUAAUGUUGAAAAAUUAGCGGAUGACUUGUGGCUGGGGGUGAAAGGCCAAUCAAACCGGGAGAUAGCUGGUUCUCCCCGAAAGCUAUUUAGGUAGCGCCUCGUGAAUUCAUCUCCGGGGGUAGAGCACUGUUUCGGCAAGGGGGUCAUCCCGACUUACCAACCCGAUGCAAACUGCGAAUACCGGAGAAUGUUAUCACGGGAGACACACGGCGGGUGCUAACGUCCGUCGUGAAGAGGGAAACAACCCAGACCGCCAGCUAAGGUCCCAAAGUCAUGGUUAAGUGGGAAACGAUGUGGGAAGGCCCAGACAGCCAGGAUGUUGGCUUAGAAGCAGCCAUCAUUUAAAGAAAGCGUAAUAGCUCACUGGUCGAGUCGGCCUGCGCGGAAGAUGUAACGGGGCUAAACCAUGCACCGAAGCUGCGGCAGCGACGCUUAUGCGUUGUUGGGUAGGGGAGCGUUCUGUAAGCCUGUGAAGGUGUGCUGUGAGGUAUGCUGGAGGUAUCAGAAGUGCGAAUGCUGACAUAAGUAACGAUAAAGCGGGUGAAAAGCCCGCUCGCCGGAAGACCAAGGGUUCCUGUCCAACGUUAAUCGGGGCAGGGUGAGUCGACCCCUAAGGCGAGGCCGAAAGGCGUAGUCGAUGGGAAACAGGUUAAUAUUCCUGUACUUGGUGUUACUGCGAAGGGGGGACGGAGAAGGCUAUGUUGGCCGGGCGACGGUUGUCCCGGUUUAAGCGUGUAGGCUGGUUUUCCAGGCAAAUCCGGAAAAUCAAGGCCGAGGCGUGAUGACGAGGCACUACGGUGCUGAAGCAACAAAUGCCCUGCUUCCAGGAAAAGCCUCUAAGCAUCAGGUAACAUCAAAUCGUACCCCAAACCGACACAGGUGGUCAGGUAGAGAAUACCAAGGCGCUUGAGAGAACUCGGGUGAAGGAACUAGGCAAAAUGGUGCCGUAACUUCGGGAGAAGGCACGCUGAUACGUAGGUGAAGCGACUUGCUCGUGGAGCUGAAAUCAGUCGAAGAUACCAGCUGGCUGCAACUGUUUAUUAAAAACACAGCACUGUGCAAACACGAAAGUGGACGUAUACGGUGUGACGCCUGCCCGGUGCCGGAAGGUUAAUUGAUGGGGUUAGCGCAAGCGAAGCUCUUGAUCGAAGCCCCGGUAAACGGCGGCCGUAACUAUAACGGUCCUAAGGUAGCGAAAUUCCUUGUCGGGUAAGUUCCGACCUGCACGAAUGGCGUAAUGAUGGCCAGGCUGUCUCCACCCGAGACUCAGUGAAAUUGAACUCGCUGUGAAGAUGCAGUGUACCCGCGGCAAGACGGAAAGACCCCGUGAACCUUUACUAUAGCUUGACACUGAACAUUGAGCCUUGAUGUGUAGGAUAGGUGGGAGGCUUUGAAGUGUGGACGCCAGUCUGCAUGGAGCCGACCUUGAAAUACCACCCUUUAAUGUUUGAUGUUCUAACGUGGACCCGUGAUCCGGGUUGCGGACAGUGUCUGGUGGGUAGUUUGACUGGGGCGGUCUCCUCCUAAAGAGUAACGGAGGAGCACGAAGGUUGGCUAAUCCUGGUCGGACAUCAGGAGGUUAGUGCAAUGGCAUAAGCCAGCUUGACUGCGAGCGUGACGGCGCGAGCAGGUGCGAAAGCAGGUCAUAGUGAUCCGGUGGUUCUGAAUGGAAGGGCCAUCGCUCAACGGAUAAAAGGUACUCCGGGGAUAACAGGCUGAUACCGCCCAAGAGUUCAUAUCGACGGCGGUGUUUGGCACCUCGAUGUCGGCUCAUCACAUCCUGGGGCUGAAGUAGGUCCCAAGGGUAUGGCUGUUCGCCAUUUAAAGUGGUACGCGAGCUGGGUUUAGAACGUCGUGAGACAGUUCGGUCCCUAUCUGCCGUGGGCGCUGGAGAACUGAGGGGGGCUGCUCCUAGUACGAGAGGACCGGAGUGGACGCAUCACUGGUGUUCGGGUUGUCAUGCCAAUGGCACUGCCCGGUAGCUAAAUGCGGAAGAGAUAAGUGCUGAAAGCAUCUAAGCACGAAACUUGCCCCGAGAUGAGUUCUCCCUGACCCUUUAAGGGUCCUGAAGGAACGUUGAAGACGACGACGUUGAUAGGCCGGGUGUGUAAGCGCAGCGAUGCGUUGAGCUAACCGGUACUAAUGAACCGUGAGGCUUAACCUU